Molecule: ribosomal RNA, 440 nt
Filed under: uncultured bacterium
Lineage: Bacteria
Description: partial 16S ribosomal RNA
Rfam family: Bacterial small subunit ribosomal RNA
Source: RNAcentral
CCUACGGGAGGCAGCAGUAGGGAAUAUUGCUCAAUGGGGGAAACCCUGAAGCAGCAACGCCGCGUGGAGGAUGAAGGUUCUCGGAUUGUAAACUCCUUUUGUUAGAGAAGAUAAUGACGGUAUCUAACGAAUAAGCACCGGCUAACUCCGUGCCAGCAGCCGCGUGAAUACGGAGGGUGCAAGCGUUACUCGGAAUCACUGGGCGUAAAGAGCGCGUAGGCGGGAUAGUAAGUCAGAUGUGAAAUCCUAUGGCUUAACCAUAGAACUGCAUUUGAAACUGUUAUUCUAGAGUAUGGGAGAGGUAGGUGGAAUUCUUGGUGUAGGGGUGAAAUCCGUAGAGAUCAAGAGGAAUACUGAUUGCGAAGGCGACCUGCUGGAACAUAACUGACGCUGAUGCGCGAAAGCGUGGGGAGCAAACAGGAUUAGAUACCCUUGUAGUC